Long non-coding RNA from Pipra filicauda (Wire-tailed manakin), 423 nucleotides. RefSeq lists it as uncharacterized. The transcript has 2 exons. The record is from RefSeq and is a predicted model, not a curated record. Lineage: Eukaryota; Metazoa; Chordata; Aves; Passeriformes; Pipridae.
CUCAAGCUGGAUGGUUAUUCACCGAUCUUGGAGGACACCGACAAGGAGUCAAGCACACAGUCUACAUCCUGAGCAGCAACACUCCUGAAAGCACCUCCCAGGGAGACUGUGGCCAUAGAGGAUAAAAAGUUCUAGAACAGAAGAAUUUUGCAGCACAAUCUAAUAUAAUGUUGAUAAAAAUUCUGAAAGCGCACAACUCCAUGGGAGCUUUAAGGCAAUCUUCAGGACAAAGAAAAUUGUGGCUGUGCAUCCCAGCACGUGAGCGAGUUUAUCAAAUACAAGGCAGCAGCCAGAACAACAGGAAAUUGCAUGAGAAAGCCCAGCUCCUGGCUGGCAGAAGGGCGUUAACCUCUCCUUCAUGUCACUGAGUUUAAUACUCCAAUUUUGCAGUAAAAGCGUCUUCCCCGAGCCCGGGUUCAUAAA